RNAcentral lists this ribosomal RNA (279 nucleotides) under uncultured bacterium. RNAcentral describes it as "partial 16S ribosomal RNA". It matches the Rfam family "Bacterial small subunit ribosomal RNA", at positions 506 to 784 of the family's 1533-position model. The record is from RNAcentral.
UGCCAGCCGCCGCGGUAAUACAUAGGGUGCAAGCGUUAAUCGGAAUUACUGGGCGUAAAGCGUUCGCAGGCUGUUCUACAAGUCAGAUGUUAAAUCCCCGAGCUUAACUUGGGAACUGCGUUUGAAACUGUAAGACUAGAGUGUGUCAGAGGGGGGUAGAAUUCCACGUGUAGCAGUGAAAUGCGUAGAUAUGUGGAGGAAUACCAAUGGCGAAGGCAGCCCCCUGGGAUAACACUGACGCUCAUGAACGAAAGCGUGGGGAGCAAACAGGAUUAGAUA